This 519-nucleotide ribosomal RNA is filed under the name Rossellomorea vietnamensis. RNAcentral's name for it is "bacterial SSU rRNA". It matches the Rfam family "Bacterial small subunit ribosomal RNA", at positions 1 to 501 of the family's 1533-position model. Lineage: Bacteria; Bacillati; Bacillota; Bacilli; Caryophanales; Bacillaceae. The record is from RNAcentral.
UUUAUCGGAGAGUUUGAUCCUGGCUCAGGACGAACGCUGGCGGCGUGCCUAAUACAUGCAAGUCGAGCGGAUUGAUGGGAGCUUGCUCCCUGAUAUCAGCGGCGGACGGGUGAGUAACACGUGGGUAACCUGCCUGUAAGACUGGGAUAACUCCGGGAAACCGGGGCUAAUACCGGAUAACUCAUUUCCUCGCAUGAGGAAAUGUUGAAAGGUGGCUUCGGCUACCACUUACAGAUGGACCCGCGGCGCAUUAGCUAGUUGGUGAGGUAAUGGCUCACCAAGGCAACGAUGCGUAGCCGACCUGAGAGGGUGAUCGGCCACACUGGGACUGAGACACGGCCCAGACUCCUACGGGAGGCAGCAGUAGGGAAUCUUCCGCAAUGGACGAAAGUCUGACGGAGCAACGCCGCGUGAGUGAUGAAGGUUUUCGGAUCGUAAAGCUCUGUUGUUAGGGAAGAACAAGUGCCGUUCGAAUAGGGCGGCACCUUGACGGUACCUAACCAGAAAGCCACGGCUAAC